This 1149-nucleotide long non-coding RNA is filed under the name Homo sapiens (human). RNAcentral describes it as "novel transcript". Lineage: Eukaryota; Metazoa; Chordata; Mammalia; Primates; Hominidae. The record is from RNAcentral.
CAAAGUGCUGGGAUUCCAGGCGUGAGCCACCGCGCCGGGACCCAAGGCCCUUAAGUUUUAAGGCCUCAUUCUUCAGUCAGGUUUUCCCUGUUCCCGCGUGUUCGGCCAAUUUUUUGUUGUUGUUGUUUUGUUUUUGUUUUUGUUUUUGAGUCAAUUUUCCAGACAUCUUUAAUUAGCAAUAUGUUUAAGUAGUUACAAGCCUUUCCUUCUUUUCUUGUGACAGUUUGGGUUGAAUUUCUAUCGUUUGCAGCCUGUCACUGUAAGGCACAAACAUGAUCACGCAAGAUGCGAUAGUAGAUUUAAGCCAGUUGUUUUUAAGUUUGUGUUUAAGGAGAAACUAACAAUGAAAACGGCCUCGUUGACGGAGGAAAAGUUGGAAUGCAGCCUCUGGUGCUGUUUGAGCGAUCCCUCUCCCCGGGGCCUGGCCGCGCGCUGCUGUGUUCUGGAAGGGCUCAUUGUACAGUCAAGGCGGCAGGGCCUUCUUCUGUCACCCAUGCUGGAGUGCAGUAGCAUGAUCACAGCUCACGGUAGCCUCCACCUUCUGGGCUCAAUCCUCCUACCUCAGCCUUCCAAGUAGCUGGGACUACAGAUCAGACAUUACUUUAGGUGAAGACUUUCCAGUCUGACUUCCCUUACCCGAGUCUUGAGGAUCCAUUUUCUGAGACGGUGAUGGGAAAGAUGUUGGUUGUCAAGUGGAAUCUCAGCAGUCAUUUUCAGACAAAGUUAGAGAAAACAAGUAUGGAAGAUGCCUGAUUCUCAAAGAGUCAUCCAGUCUUGGGAUUACCGCCUACGUCCAUGGAAGUGAAAGUCCUCUUUUUCUUUGUACCACUUACUGAGCCUUGCAUCCCAGGGAUGAAGCCCACUUGAUCAUGGUGGAUAAGCUGUUUGAUGUGCUGCUGGAUUCGGUUUGCCAGUAUUUUAUUGAGGAUUUUUGCAUCGAUGUUCAUCACAUUAAUUCAAGAUGGAUUAAAGACUUAAAUGUUAGACCUAAAACCAUAAAAACCCUAGAAGAAAACCUAGGCAAUACCAUUCAGGACAUAGGCAUGGGCAAGGACUUCCUGUCUAAAACACCAAAAGCAAUGGCAACAAAAGCCAAAAUUGACAAAUGGGAUCUAAUUAAACUAAAUAACUUCUGCACAGCAAAAGAAA